Molecule: ribosomal RNA, 1412 nt
Filed under: Hyphochytrium catenoides
Lineage: Eukaryota; Hyphochytriomycetes; Hyphochytriales; Hyphochytriaceae
Description: eukaryotic LSU rRNA
Rfam family: Eukaryotic large subunit ribosomal RNA (bases 621-1412)
Source: RNAcentral
GUCGUAACAAGGUUUCCGUAGGUGAACCUGCGGAAGGAUCAUUACCACACCGAUCCAACUGAUCGUACUCUGCGGACUGUAGCUCGUGGGCCGUCUCGCCUGUUGUCGGGCGGAGCGCCGCCCCUUUCUACAAUUCACACCCCUGAUCAAACAUCUGAACCAACCCAUCUGAAACCUGAAGUGGUGUUGAGGUGGCGCCUGCCGCCUCCGCCGCGUUGAUACCAAUGCGACACAACUUUCAGCAACGGAUAUCUUGGCUCACGCAACGAUGAAGAACGCAGCGAAAUGCGAUACGUAAUGCGAAUUGCAGAAUUCAGUGAAUCAUCAAAAUUUUGAACGCACAUUGCGCUUCCGGGAUAUGCCUGGGAGCAUGCUUGUUGGAGUGUCUGUUCACCCCACUCGCCUCCUCGUGCGCUGGUCCGCCGCUUAGCCCCGGCCGACUCAGUGAGGAGCUGCGGACUGUGGGCCGCCUUGCUGCUCCGCGCGGCAAGCCGCCCGAAGUGUAGAGACGACGUCCGGUCUUCUCGAUUGCGUGGGAGCUCGUAUUUCUAUGAGACAAUCGCGAUGGAGGCACGGCUGAUACAUGGCGCGUCGAAAAGAACACCACUAUUCUUCCUUUUGGACCUCCAAUCAAGUAAGAGGACCCGCUGGAUUUAAGCAUAUUACUAAGCGGAGGAAAAGAAACUAACCAGGAUUCCCUCAGUAACGGCGAGUGAAGCGGGAAGAGCUCAUGUUGUAAAUCUGCAGCGCCCCUGGCGCCGCCGAAUUGUAGUCUAUAGAAGUAGUUGCCUGCCGCGGCCCCGAGACAAGUUGUCUUGGAACAGACCUCCAUAGAGGGUGAGAGGCCCGUCUAGGCUUGGGAGCCCGCGUGCGUACGGCCUGCUUUCGACGAGUCGAGUUGCUUGGGAGUGCAGCUCAAAGUGGGUGGUAAAUUCCAUCUAAAGCUAAAUACCGGCGUGAGACCGAUAGCGAACAAGUACUGUGAAGGAAAGAUGCAAAGAACUUUGAAAAGAGAGUUAAAAAGUGCUUGAAAUUGCUGAGAGAGAGCUGAACAGGAUCAGCGUUGAUGCCCGUGUAUACUACCUAUAGAUCGGUUUCGUAUGCGGGCGUAGGAGUGCAUGGAUUCGGAUCGUGGGAUACGCUUGCUGUCUCGAUCCGGAUUGAGGAACACCCCCUGCGGGAGCGAUGCACUCAAAAUGAUCCUAUUCAUCCCGUCUUGAAACACGGACCAAGGAGUCUAACAUAUGUGCGAGUAUUAGGGUGGCAAACCCUUGUGCGCAAUGAAAGUGAAGGCGCUAACCACGCCGAGGUACGAACCUUCGGGGGCAGUAUUGACCGAUCAUUGGACUUGUCCAUAGAUUUGAGUUUGAGCAUACAUGUUGGGACCCGAAAGAUGGUGAACUAUGCGUGAA